RNAcentral lists this ribosomal RNA (462 nucleotides) under uncultured bacterium. RNAcentral's name for it is "bacterial SSU rRNA". It matches the Rfam family "Bacterial small subunit ribosomal RNA", at positions 28 to 465 of the family's 1533-position model. The record is from RNAcentral.
GACGAACGCUGGCGGCGUGCCUAAUACAUGCAAGUCGUACGCUUCUUUUUCCACCGGAGCUUGCUCCACCGGAAAAAGAAGAGUGGCGAACGGGUGAGUAACACGUGGGUAACCUGCCCAUCAGAAGGGGAUAACACUUGGAAACAGGUGCUAAUACCGUAUAACAAUCGAAACCGCAUGGUUUUGAUUUGAAAGGCGCUUUCGGGUGUCGCUGAUGGAUGGACCCGCGGUGCAUUAGCUAGUUGGUGAGGUAACGGCUCACCAAGGCCACGAUGCAUAGCCGACCUGAGAGGGUGAUCGGCCACAUUGGGACUGAGACACGGCCCAAACUCCUACGGGAGGCAGCAGUAGGGAAUCUUCGGCAAUGGACGAAAGUCUGACCGAGCAACGCCGCGUGAGUGAAGAAGGUUUUCGGAUCGUAAAACUCUGUUGUUAGAGAAGAACAAGGAUGAGAGUAACUGU